CGAUUUGAUCAUGGCUCAGAUUGAACGCUGGCGGAAUGCUUUACACAUGCAAGUCGAGCGGCAGCGCGGGGCAACCUGGCGGCGAGCGGCGAACGGGUGAGUAAUGUAUCGGAACGUACCCAGUCGUGGGGGAUAACUAUCCGAAAGGAUAGCUAAUACCGCAUACGUCCUGAGGGAGAAAGCGGGGGAUCGCAAGACCUCGCGCGAUUGGAGCGGCCGAUAUCGGAUUAGCUAGUUGGUGAGGUAAAGGCUCACCAAGGCGACGAUCCGUAGCUGGUCUGAGAGGACGACCAGCCACACUGGAACUGAGACACGGUCCAGACUCCUACGGGAGGCAGCAGGUGGGGUAAUUUUGGACAAUGGGGGCAACCCUGAUCCAGCCAUUCCGCGUGAGUGAAGAAGGCCUUCGGGUUGUAAAGCUCUUUCGGCAGGAACGAAACGGUGGGCUCUAACAUAGCCUGCUAAUGACGGUACCUGAAGAAGAAGCACCGGCUAACUACGUG
Molecule: ribosomal RNA, 503 nt
Filed under: uncultured bacterium
Lineage: Bacteria
Description: bacterial SSU rRNA
Rfam family: Bacterial small subunit ribosomal RNA
Source: RNAcentral